RNAcentral lists this ribosomal RNA (253 nucleotides) under uncultured bacterium. Its description in RNAcentral is "partial 16S ribosomal RNA". It matches the Rfam family "Bacterial small subunit ribosomal RNA", at positions 524 to 776 of the family's 1533-position model. The record is from RNAcentral.
UACGUAGGGGGCAAGCGUUGUCCGGAUUUAUUGGGCGUAAAGAGCGUGUAGGCGGUUUGGUAGGUCCGUUGUGAAAACUCGAGGCUCAACCUCGAGACGCCGAUGGAAACCAUCAGACUAGAGUCCGGAAGAGGUGAGUGGAAUUCCUGGUGUAGCGGUGAAAUGCGUAGAUAUCAGGAGGAACACCUGUGGCGAAAGCGGCUCACUGGACCAUAACUGACGCUGAUGCACGAAAGCUAGGGGAGCAAACAGG